Molecule: long non-coding RNA, 1489 nt
Organism: Gallus gallus (chicken)
Lineage: Eukaryota; Metazoa; Chordata; Aves; Galliformes; Phasianidae
Source: Ensembl
CUUCACGCUCCUGCUCCGCGCCUUCGGCUCGGUUCUCCCUUCACUGCUCCUUCCCAACUCGUCGCACCCGCAGCCUGUCAAAAAGCUGAAUGUCUGCUCCAGCUGUCAAGUACAUCUUGACAAGUUCAAGUCUGUGAGCUGCUACAGUACAGAAGGGAAUGAGUGAGAUGAGAAGUUAGGAGUCUCUGAAAAGAUUCACUGGGAGGCAACUUAUGAUCCGUGGAUAACUGUUUAUCUAUAAAACAUCAAAAAACUCAUCUUGGAGGAAUUUAGUAAACAAUGAGCAACAGCGUCCUUGGGAAUGAACAAGGAAGUAAGCACAUAAAACAGUGGACAACAAAGACAUUUAUCUUCUGUUUCUGUUGAUGGACUGAAUAAGCUGCUGACCAGUCUUAUCAAUUGAAGUAAAUGGCAAGACCCCCUUUAGCUUCCGUGAUUCAAAUGGAGCCUAGUAAGUGCUACAGAGUCCAGAUGUUCUGCAGCUGUUAAUCUCCCAGAAUUCAUCUCCCAUGGCAGAAGCCUAAUCCACAGAAAAGAGUAAUGCCAUUCCUACAUAACUGUUGGGUGGAACACUUGCCUGGGCAUGUGAAGAUUUGAGUCUGAAUUACAGUGGAACACAUAACUAAUAGAGUAGGCAACACAUUUUUCAAAUAAACUGAAAUACUUGGAAACUUUCUAAGUUUUAUUUUAGUAAGUGAACUGGCAACCACUAGGAAGUGAUAUAUAUCAAUAUCUACUAUACUGUUUGAAGCUACUUCUAGUCAUGGAAUCAUAGAAUCAUAGAAUGUUUUGGGUUAGAAGGGGCCUUUAAGAUCAUCUAGGUCCAGCCUCCCUGUUAUAGGCGGGGACACCUCCAUCUUGACCAGGUUGCUCACAGCUCCAUCCAGCCUGGCCUUGAAUGCUUCCAGGGAGGGGGCAUCCACAGCCUCACUGGGCAACCUAUACUGGAACUUGUUUUGUGAGAUUGUGAUGAUAAUAAUUCAACAUAUUAUUACAUAUGAACUUGUGAUAUAGAUGACUUUGAUUUGUUAUAAAUCACUAAGUUUUAUGUGAUUGACAUUGGCUCUUUGAGAAAUUAGAUUAUGAACUUGACAGGUAAAACCAUCAACUUUGCAUAACCAUAAGGAAAAGCCACCAUAACACUGUUAGUUAAGAAGGUUAUAGAAAGAAGAGGGAAAGAGAACCUUACUUUGUCUUCUCUCUGUGCAGGAAAAGAGCACUGAUAGCUGCUAAUUGGUUACUCUAAUUCCAAGUGACACCAGAGCCUAGUUUCAAAAGUUUUAUUCUCUAGUUUUAAAGUAUAGCACAUAUUAUAUAUGAUUGUACUGUGAUAUAGGUAUCACUCCUCUUUAUUAUUUUCAGUGAUUGUGAACUUUCCUAAAUAGCCAAAUACAGAAGCUCAUUGUGUUUUGCUUCUUGUUUUUCAUCCAUGCUAUAGCCAAUGACUGUUUCUUUCCACAUACAUGGCAGUCACAGAUGUUCUUUUUCC